GGACCCCACUGCUAUCGGGGUGGGACUAAGCCAUGCAAGUCGAAGGUCCCCGGCUCCGGGGGCCUGGCAGACGGCUCAGUAACACGUGGCCAACCUACCCUCGNGAGGGGGAUAACCCCNNNAAACUGGGGUUAAACCCCCAUAGGCGGCGGGCUCUGGAAGGACCCGCCGCUGAAAGUGGUGUACGGGGAUGCUCCGUACACCAGCCCGAGGAUGGGGCUGCGGCCUAUCAGGUAGUUGGCGGGGUAACGGCCCGCCAAGCCUAUAACGGGUAGGGGCCGUGAGAGCGGGAGCCCCGAGAUGGGCACUGAGACAAGGGCCCAGGCCCUACGGGGUGCACCAGGNGCGAAACUUCCGCAAUGCGGGAAACCGUGACGGAGUCACCCCGAGUGCCACCCGAUGAGGGUGGCUUUUGCCCGGUCUAAAAAGCCGGGCGAAUAAGCAGGGGGCAAG
RNAcentral lists this ribosomal RNA (453 nucleotides) under uncultured crenarchaeote. Its description in RNAcentral is "bacterial SSU rRNA". It matches the Rfam family "Archaeal small subunit ribosomal RNA", at positions 19 to 450 of the family's 1478-position model. Lineage: Archaea; Thermoproteati; Thermoproteota. The record is from RNAcentral.